CCUACGGGUGACAGCAGUGGGGAAUAUUGGGCAAUGGGCGCAAGCCUGACCCAGCAACGCCGCGUGAAGGAAGAAGGCUUUCGGGUUGUAAACUUCUUUUCUCAGGGACGAAGCAAGUGACGGUACCUGAGGACUAAGCCACGGCUAACUACGUGCCAGCAGCCGCGGUAAUACGUAGGUGGCAAGCGUUAUCCGGAUUUACUGGGUGUAAGGGGCGUGUAGGCAGGAAAGCAAGUCAGAUGUGAAAACCAUGGGCUCAACCUGUGGCCUGCAUUUGAAACUGUUUUUCUUGAGUACUGGAGAGGCAGACGGAAUUCCUAGUGUAGCGGUGAAAUGCGUAGAUAUUAGGAGGAACACCAGUGGCGAAGGCGGUCUGCUGGACAGCAACUGACGCUGAGGCGCGAAAGCGUGGGGAGCAAACAGGAUUAGAUACCCCUGUAGUC
RNAcentral lists this ribosomal RNA (443 nucleotides) under uncultured bacterium. RNAcentral's name for it is "partial 16S ribosomal RNA". It matches the Rfam family "Bacterial small subunit ribosomal RNA", at positions 338 to 795 of the family's 1533-position model. The record is from RNAcentral.